Molecule: ribosomal RNA, 137 nt
Filed under: uncultured bacterium
Lineage: Bacteria
Description: partial 16S ribosomal RNA
Rfam family: Bacterial small subunit ribosomal RNA
Source: RNAcentral
UGGGGAAUAUUGCGCAAUGGGCGAAAGCCUGACGCAGCGACGCCGCGUGAGGGAAGAAGGCCUUCGGGUCGUAAACCUCUGUCAGGAGGGAAGAAACCAUGGGAGUCGAACAGGCUCUCGUGCUGACGUACUCCGGA